UCGAGGAUCUUCGUCAAUGGGCGCAAGCCUGAACGAGCGACGCCGCGUGCGCGAUGAAGGCCUUCGGGUUGUAAAGCGCGAAAGAGGGAAGAAAGCGAAAGUUGAUCGACCCUCAGUAAGGACGGGCUAAGUUCGUGCCAGCAGCCGCGGUAAGACGAACUGUCCUAACGUUGUUCGGAAUCACUGGGCUUAAAGGGCGCGUAGGCGGUCUGGUAAGUCGGGGGUGAAAUCCUGCAGCUCAACUGUAGAAGUGCCUUCGAUACUGCCAGUCUGGAGGGAGAUAGGGGUGUGUGGAACUUCCAGUGGAGCGGUGAAAUGCGUUGAUAUUGGAAGGAACGCCGGAGGCGAAAGCGACGCACUGGAUCUCUUCUGACGCUGAGGCGCGAAAGCUAGGGGAGCAAACGG
Molecule: ribosomal RNA, 405 nt
Filed under: uncultured bacterium
Lineage: Bacteria
Description: bacterial SSU rRNA
Rfam family: Bacterial small subunit ribosomal RNA
Source: RNAcentral